GAUGAACGCUGGCGGCGUGCCUAAUACAUGCAAGUCGAGCGAACAGACGAGAGUGCUUGCACUCUCUGACGUUAGCGGCGGACGGGUGUGUAACACGUGGGUAACCUACCUAUAAGACUGGGAUAACUUCGGGAAACCGGAGCUAAUACCGGAUAAUAUUUAGCUUCGCAUGAAGCAAUAGUGAAAGACGGUUCUGCUGUCACUUAUAGAUGGACCCGCGGUGUAUUAGCUAGUUGGUGAGGUAACGGCUCACCAAGGCAACGAUACAUAGCCGACCUGAGAGGGUGAUCGGCCACACUGGGACUGAGAAACGGCCCAGACUCCUACGGGAGGCAGCAGUAGGGAAUCUUCCGCAAUGGACGAAAGUCUGACGGAGCAAUGCCGCGUGAGUGAAGAAGGUUUUCGGAUCGUAAAACUCUGUUGUAAGGGAAGAACAAGUACGUUAGUAACUGAACGUACCUUGACGGUACCUUACCAGAAAGCCACGGCUAACUACGUG
This 499-nucleotide ribosomal RNA is filed under the name uncultured bacterium. RNAcentral describes it as "partial 16S ribosomal RNA". It matches the Rfam family "Bacterial small subunit ribosomal RNA", at positions 28 to 507 of the family's 1533-position model. The record is from RNAcentral.